RNAcentral lists this ribosomal RNA (363 nucleotides) under Triticum aestivum (bread wheat). RNAcentral's name for it is "partial small subunit ribosomal RNA". The record is from RNAcentral. Lineage: Eukaryota; Viridiplantae; Streptophyta; Magnoliopsida; Poales; Poaceae.
AUGGCCACCGAGCCUGGAGCAGGAGCGUUUACUCGCUGUGCCUAUGGUAGUGGCGGCGACGAUGGCGCGUAUGGUAGUGGCGGCGACGAUGGCGCGUAUGGUAGUGGCGGCGGCCAGGACGUGCCCUCGGCGAUCUCGACAUCCAAGUCAAGGAUUGGCGGCGCAAGAACGAUGGCGCUGCAGGGGAUCGAACCAGAGGAAUGUGAUCCAUCCUGUCAAGAUCGGUUUCUGCGUGUGGGUCUGACGAAACACCAUCAAGAGAUAGCUGAAUGUUUCAACCAAAGGGGUGUGUCUUUAAUUUUCCUUUUAAGAAGAAAGAAAACUUCUGCAGCAAAAUACCAGGAAACUAAAUGGAACUCAUAA